This 226-nucleotide unclassified non-coding RNA is filed under the name plant metagenome. RNAcentral describes it as "partial contains small subunit ribosomal RNA and internal transcribed spacer 1". The record is from RNAcentral.
AAGUCGUAACAGGUUCCGUAAGUGAACCUGCGGAAGGAUCUUAAUGGAGUUAGGUCGUCCGGGGCCCGACCUCCAACCCUUUGUUGUCACAAAACCAAUUGUUGCUUUGGCGUGGACCGCCCGCGAGGGCUGCCGGUCUUAGGCCCGGCAUGCGCCCGCCAGAGGAAAACCAAACUCUUGUUUAUCAAACCGUACGUCUGAGUAAAAAUGAUUAAAUCAAUCAAAA